GACGAACGCUGGCGGCGUGCCUAAUACAUGCAAGUCGAACGCUGAAGAGAGGAGCUUGCUCUUCUUGGAUGAGUAGCGAACGGGUGAGUAACGCGUAGGUAACCUGCCUCGUAGCGGGGGAAAACUAUUGGAAACGCUAGCUAAUACCGCAUAACAAUGGAUGACACAAUGCGUUCAUGUGAAAGGGGCAAUUGUGUCGCGAAAAGACGGACCAGCGUUGUGUUAGAUAGUAGGUGAGGUAAUGUCGCACCUAAGCGAGGAUACGUAGCGGACCUGCGAGGGUGAUCGGCCACACUGGGACUGAGACACGGCCCAGACUCCUGCGGGAGGCAGCCGUAGGGAAUCUUCGGCAAUGGGAGCAGUCCGGACCGAGCAACGCCGCGUGCGUGAAUAAGCCUUCCGGAUCGUAAAGCUCUGUUAUACGUCAGGAAUGUGUGUGAGAGUGGAAAGUUCACACUGUGACGGUAGCUUACCAGAAAGGGACGGCUAACUACGUG
Molecule: ribosomal RNA, 497 nt
Filed under: uncultured bacterium
Lineage: Bacteria
Description: partial 16S ribosomal RNA
Rfam family: Bacterial small subunit ribosomal RNA
Source: RNAcentral